RNAcentral lists this ribosomal RNA (253 nucleotides) under uncultured bacterium. Its description in RNAcentral is "partial 16S ribosomal RNA". It matches the Rfam family "Bacterial small subunit ribosomal RNA", at positions 524 to 776 of the family's 1533-position model. The record is from RNAcentral.
UACGUAGGGGGCAAGCGUUAUCCGGAUUUACUGGGUGUAAAGGGAGCGUAGACGGCUGUGCAAGUCUGGAGUGAAAGGCAUGGGCUCAACCUGUGGACUGCUUUGGAAACUGUGCGGCUUGAGUGUCGGGGAGGCAAGUGGAAUUCCUAGUGUAGCGGUGAAAUGCGUAGGUAUUAGGAAGAACACCAGUGGCGAAGGCGGCUUGCUGGACGAUGACUGACGUUGAGGCUCGAAAGCGUGGGGAGCAAACAGG